UUAUAAUGCGGAGUCCACAAAGAAAUAUAAGGAUGACGAAUUAACCAUCAUGAUGCUGGUGGACGGGUGUGCUUUACUCUGUUACAUUUUAUGCGUUUGCUUAGGUUAUGGCCAUGAAGAUUUCAAUAUCAGAUAUCAGAAAAUGAAAAUUUGGAAGGUCCUUCGUCAUCGGAAACUGAAAUUGGCCGGAGGCUGGGUAGAGCAUCAGUUAGAGAUGUGAAGGAGGUUAUGGCAUCAUUUAGAAAUGUGAAGGAGCUGAUGGACGCUGGAAUCCGCAUCAAGCGCAAUCCUACACGUCACUUGAGGGACAUUUCUUUCCGUUCAAAUGGGAUCACCGCAUGCCUGAGAAUUCCUCCCAUCACCAUUGAUAACUCAACCAAGGCUAUGUUCUUGAACUUGAUAGCCUAUGAAAUGAGCUCAGACGUCGACCAUGACUUCAUCUCUUACCUUCGCUUCCUUGAUUCCCUCAUUGAUCAUGCUGAUGACGUUAAGGAGCUGCAGUCCAUCGGGAUACCAAAACAAUCUAGGAACCCACGAAGAAGUGGCUCAAUUCUUCAACACCGUGUCCGCCAACUUGGAAUCCAACUUUCAUGCUUACAAAGACGUGAGAGUGAAAAUUCGGAAGCACCUUCAGAGUCACUAUAACAGCAAACUGACGAUGUGGAUGACACAAUGCCUGGACACCUAUUUCGGUAGCCCCUGGACAAUCAUAGCUUGGGUUGGUGCAGCUUUGGCCCUAUUCCUUACUUUCGUCCAGACUUACUUCUCAGUCUUCCCUCAUUGAUGCAUGCCUGUCCUGUUUUCAACUAUCACCAUCUCAAUUAAGGUAGUAUCCACUCCAAAUUUCCUUGUUUUUCUCGCUAUCUGCAUUUUACCUAGUCCAUGUAAAUUAAGCAAAGACUCAUUGGCUUCAUGCGCUUUUGACCUUACCUCUUUUGUGUUUUUGGUUUCAGCCUAUUUUCUACAUUGCUUUCCGUGCUUAAAUUAAGUAAAGAAUGACUAUGUAGUGUGACCUUAGUUUGGUGUAUUAUGUGCUAUCGCAAGCAUGUGCUAUGCUUGUAUAUGCAUCAUCAGCAGUAUUAUGUUUGAUUUAAGUACGUAAAUAAAGAUAGAUAUAGGUGGAAUAUUUUUUUUCUAUGUUUAUAUUCCUGUUAAUGUAUUAUAUAUAUAUGUUAGGUCGGCAAUUUUUUUUAUCUCAUACCAUUUUUAAUUAAAUCAUUCUUAAACUAUAGUUACUAAGCCAAAAAUUAUAAUGCUCUAGAAAUAUAAUCAAUCUCAUUGUCGAAUUUUUCUAAAAUAAUCUCAGAAUAAGCCCAAUAUCUCUAAUAAUAUGUUAUUUAAGGCACAUAAUAUUCCAAAAAGAAAAUUCUGCAAAAGAAAAAGAAAUUUGUUGAGAAGUGGUUUAUUUUAGUUAAUAUGAACAAAACAACAUUUUGUCCGAUGGAAAUUUGACUAAUGCUUGUAAGUACCGAUUUGUAAAUAUUUGUGGGGGGAGUUUCUUUUGACAACCGAUGGAGCAAUUCAGGUCAUGCAACACUUAUUUGACAACAUUCUAAAAUAAUGUUGUUAAAAAUAUUUAAGAAUGGUUCUGAAAAUAUAUUUUACUUGUUCUUAGGAAUAAAAUUCAACUUAUUUGACAAUAUUCUUAAGAAUAUGCUUUAUCUGUUUUUACUUUUUAGGAAUAAAAUUCCAUUUAAGAAUUAAAAUAUGAAAUACGGCUUUUCAGCCUUGUCCUUCACAAAGGCAUGCGCAGUGGACCUAUAAUGCAAGUUCUUUUUUGUUCUUUUUUAAAACACUUGCAUAAUUUUCUUAAAGAUUAUUUUCAAAAAAUUUUAAAUUUGAUGUAAUAAUUCAUAAAAUUUUCCUUGCAUGUAAUGAAAAACUCGGAUUAUUUGUAUGUUAUAAAAGUUAAAAUUUAUUUAUUUUUAAAUUAAUUUUAUAUCAAAUAUUAUUAAUUAUUAUUAUUUUAAAAAAAUUAUUUUUUUUAAAAUAAAUAAAUUAUACUUUUAUAAAAAUAUUAAUAUCCAUAUUUUUAUAAUAUAUAUUAAAAUAUUUUUUUUAUGAAAAAUAUAAUUUUAUGACUUUGUUAUAAUAUUACUAUUCAUAUUUUACUAGACAUUAUUUUGUUUUAUUUAUUUGUGAUAACAAAAAAUAUUUUCAUUUUUAAUCAAACUUAAAUUAAAUCUAAUUAAUAUGGUAUAAAUUGAAUUUAUAAUAUUUUUACAAAAUAAAAAUGGAAAAAAAAAAUAAAACCAAUUUAUUCAAAUAAACUUUUUUUUUCUAAUUAUUUUUAAAAACAAUUUAUCUAACACUCUUAUUUUUAUAAAAUGUUAAAAAUAUAUAUAUAUAUUUAAAAAAAAAAAAAAAAAAAAACAUGUUCACACAAAAUGUGCUAUUUUUUACCAUUCAGGUGUUAUCCCUUACUGAUGUAGAUAAAAGAUACGCAUAAAAUUAAAAAUGAUUUUUGGACUGUUGCUAUUUUGAUGGGUUUUUUUUUUUUCAAAUGAAACAUGCUUUUUCCCUUUUUGCCCCCUCUCUGAUUGAGGGUUUGUUUUAUUUCACUCUCAUGGAGAGCCCUCUCCAUCUGCCAGCCAACCUGACAAGUCUGAACUGCUCUUUAAGUCUUUCAUUAAUGACACAACUAACUCUCACAGCAGGCGUUGUAAUUGAUAGAAUCAAGGACAGGACAUGGAGUAAUUUGUUUUACUCCAUUUGCCAACUAAUCUGACAAGUUUGAAACACUCUUUAAUGCUUUGUUUUUCGUCUUUCAAUCAUGACACACCCAACUCUCCAUCAGGCGUUGCAAUUGAUACAAUCAAAGAUGGGACAGGUAUUCAUAGAGGCUUCUUUUUUUCUACACCUCUAUAACCACCCAUUUAAGAUAACGUAUAUUUAUCAAAAUCAAACAUUUACUACAUAAUUGUUUGCGAAACCAUUGAACACUACGAUUUAUUACAUUAUAAAUAUAAACAAGCCAGAUGAACCCAGUCACUCACAACGUAGCCUAUCAUAAUUUCUAUUUUUUUUUUCAUUUGAAUUAAAUUAAAAUUUUCAUAAUAUAAUACUUUAAUUUUUAUUUUGAAAUAAUAGGUGUUGCAUAAUUUGUUUUACUUUACUGGUAGGUUAUGAAUUAUUAUUAUUAUUAAUAUAAUUCAAGUAACAUUUUGUUGGAAACUCAAAGCUUUAUAUGUGACCAGGUAGGAAAAAAAAACACCUAUGAAGACCUAAAAUUAAUGUAAUACCAAUUCAAAUUAUAUAGACAAGUGAGAGGUAAGUGAAAACAAUAAAUAAGAAGAAUAAAAAAGGUGAAAAAUAACAAAUAAAAAAAAUAAGAGAGAGAGUUGAUUAAAUUUUAAAUUAAUAGUGGUUAAGUAUAGUUAACCUAUAUAUUAAGGGAUGUGAGUAAAAUUAAUUUUUUAAAAGUAUUGAAUGUAACCAAAAACAUAAAUAAGGUACUAGAAGUUUUGAAUAAACGUGGAUGUGAGAAAUGGUAUAUUCAUCAAAAUCAAAUAAAAUUGUUGAGAAAACUAUUAAACUAUGAUAUAUAUAUAAUGUAUUAGAAUCUUAUAAAAAUUAUAAGGACCUAUUUAUUAACAAAGUAUCUUACCAUAAAUUUUUAUUUAAAUUAAAUCAAAAGAUUUGACAAUAAUGACUUGCUAUUUGUUGGGCCUAUGUGUGCAGAUCACAGGAUUAUUCGUCAUUGGAUGUUGUUUGGUCACUGCAGUUUACACAUUUGAGGAUGUUUGGUUUAGACAAGUGUCACUGACAGAUUUGUAAACUUAUUUUUUAAAGUAUUUAGGGUUUAUUUAAUCUAUAUUUUGCACAAAAUUGGCAAAGAGAAGAGAUUGUUAAUUAGUGCAUUAGACUACUUGUUUAGAUUUACAAUUUUAUUCAAUUCAUUCUAACUUAAAACUUUUCUAGGCUACUAUGUUUUAUUCUUUAUUGAAGAUUUAAAAUUACUACGUGAUCAAUCGAGAUAAUACAGGCAAGUGUAAAGAUGUACAAGAAAUGUUAAUUGAGAUUGGUUAUAGUGUGGAAUGGAUAGGCUUUUGAUUUUAAAAUUAUGAAAAAGGUGAGUGUUUUUCGAUCCCAAUGCUCAAGCACUCCUUAGACUACUUAAAUGCUUAAGCCAAAAUUAUGUGAAAUUCUAAAAUAUUGUUUUUUUCAUAUUUUGAAUAAUGUUUUUUUUUUUGGGGGGAAAUUUUAGAUGUCAUCCCCCUCUUUUUUUUUCUCUUUAAUGCAAACUUUGAAAAAAAAAAUUAGUCCGAGUAUUAGUUUUUCCACAUUCUAAACUAUUAGAAGUUUGUUUUCUCAUUCAUGGGUUUGUGAGAGACAUCUACAUCCAUUUUAGGCAUUGAAGUGGUCCUCUGAGUGCAUGUGUGGUGCUGCGUUAUAAACGUGAAAACUAAUAUAUGUAUUAAGGAGUAAGACUUAGGAAUAACAUCGAAAAUCUAUAUACCUUUUGUUUUAAUAGUGGAUUUGUACUUUGCAUAUUUUGACCUUGUGAUUUUUACACCUGCAUAAUCUUUAAAAGACUGGGAGUCAUUUCCAAGUAAAUGUUGUUAUAUCUCCAACAUAAUCUUUGAAAGACUGUAGGAGUAGUUUCCACGUAAAUGUUCUUAUAUCUUCUAUAAUUGAUUUUUCUUUACAUUUCAUAAAUAUUAAAAAGGAAAUAAAAAUAAAUAUUUUAGGAUAAAAAGAAGUAAAUACCUGUUGACUUCCUUUAGUUUCAUAACCAAGAUCUACAAACCAUGAGUGUUGCAUGUGAAAAGAAAUAUUUAUUUAUUUUGGGCUAAAAUAAAUAUUUUUCUUUCAAUUUAUUUUACUGUAAUGGUAGGUGGUGAAUUUAUUUUAGUUCACAUGUGAAAAGAAUGGGCCCUCAUCUGCCAUUUUGGACAAGUUGGUUCACUGAUGUGAUGGUAAGGUCAAUUUGUAGUGGAAAGAUUAGCUUAAUUUUGAGUACUCAUUAAAAGGUGGAGAUAAUCUUGUUCUAGACAAAAAUUAUUCAAUCAGUCCAAGAUUUUUUUAAUCUUUAUAAAAAUAAAUAAAAUCUAGAUAUGGAAUCAGUCACGCGGAUGCUAUAAAAUCUGAAAAUAUACCAAAUCAAUGUCACAUCCCAUUCAAAUUUUGAAAAAGAUAUAAGAUGAAUUAAUAAAAUUAUAUGAAAGAAUGUAAAAUACAUGUUGAAAAGUGAAAACGAAUAAUUACAUUGAAUCAAAGAUAAAAAUUGAAAACUGAUGCGUAGAAAGAAAAUGACCUGAUGACUUGGGGAAAGAAAAGGGAUUCAAGUCAACUUUUGACACAAAAAAAAGAAAAAAAAAAAGAAAGUAUAGAGAUAUCUAGUAGUACUAUCUCCAGCUAUCUCAUUCUCAUACUAACAAUGGCUGGGAAGGAGGUGGUGGUUUCAGUGGAGGAGCAGCAGGAAGUAGCUACUAAACAGUCUGAAAAAUCUGCGGAUGGCAGUGAUCAUUCGAGAACCUUGGCUGACUUAAAAUCCAAAUUUCGCCGAUCUCCAUCAUCACCGUCAAGUCCAAAGCUACAAUGUCCCAAGGUUCCAAAGAAGUUGCGAUCAGCUGUCAAGGAGGAAGACUACUAUGCCCCAAAACUCAUUUCUUUGGGUCCUUACUACCAUGGCGAAUCCCACCUCGCGAAUGGAGAAACGCUCAAGCUUAAAUUGGCAGAAGCCUACAUCCUAGAAAUUACUGUGUCACAAGGGAACUCAGUCGAGCAGUCAGUCGAUAACAUUUACCACAUGAUCAGAGAUCGCAUUGAUGAGCUGAAAGGUUGUUAUGACUAUCAGGAGUCCAGAAAGAACUAUAAGGAAGACGAAUUCACUGCGAUGAUGCUGGUGGACGGGUGUGCUUUACUGUGGUACAUUUUAUGUGUUUGCUUAGGUGGUGACCAUGAAGAUUACGAUAUCAGAUAUCAGGAUCUAAGCCUUCUUCACCAGGAUGCGUUGCUGCUGGAGAACCAACUUCCCUAUCAAUUACUACAGGAGCUGAUGAAGAUGGCGGUCCCAGAAUCGGCCAAUAAAGCUUGGACAGUACUAUUCCAGGAAUUCUUUGGCAUGAUCGACGAGUCAUUCUUCCAAGAAUUCUUUGGUAUAAAGGAGAAGGAGUACUCAUUCCUGCCAAAAAUGAAGAAUUAUUGCUGCCGCAUGUUCCUGGCAAUCAUCCAAAUUAUUAACAGGAAACCAAAGCUGAAACCUGGUGAAGAGUCGGAGCCGAAACCUGAUGUAGAGUCGAAGAUGAAACCUGAUGUAGAUUCGAAGAUGAAACCUGAUGAAGAGUCGAAGCCGAAACCUGAUAAAGAGUCGAGGCUUUGUCAUCAUCUCCUCGAUCUCUACCGAAGAAAUUUCCUAGGCGAUGAACGUUCUAGCGCAACGCAUUCGGAGGCUGAAAAUGGCAAGAAGGGUCCGGGAUCAGUUGGAGAUGUGAAGGAGCAGGUUAUGGCAUCAUUUAGAAAUGUGAAGGAGCUUAUGGCCGCUGGAAUCCGCAUCAAGCGCAGUCCUACACGUCACUUGAGGGACAUUUCUUUCCGUUCAAAUGGGAUCACCGCAUGCCUGAGAAUUCCUCCCAUCACCAUUGAUAACUCAACCAAGGCUAUGUUCUUGAACUUGAUAGCCUAUGAAAUGAGCUCAGACGUCGACCAUGACUUCAUCUCUUACCUUCGCUUCCUUGAUUCCCUCAUUGAUCAUGCUGAUGACGUUAAGGAGCUGCAGUCCAUCGGGAUACUCCAAAACAAUCUAGGAACCCACGAAGAAGUGGCUCAAUUCUUCAACACGGUGUCCGCCAACUUGGAAUCCAACUUUCAUGCUUACAAAGAUGUGAGAGUGAGAAUUCGGAAGCACCUUAAAAAUCACUACAACAGCAAACUGAAAAUGUGGAUGACACAAUGCCUGGAUACCUACUUCGGUAGCCCCUGGACUAUCAUUGCUUGGGUUGGUGCUGCUUUGGCCCUUUUCUUUACUGCCGUCCAGACUUACUUCUCAGUCUUCCCUCAUUGAUGCAUGCAUGCCCUGUUUUCUCGCUAUCUAUUGAGUGCUUCUGCAUUUUACCUAGCCCAAAUUCAUGGACUCCAUAUAACUCUUUGAUGGUUGCAAAGUAAAUUAGGCAAAGAGUCAUUGGUCUCGUUUCUUUUCCAUUUCAGCCUAUUUUCUACCUUCCUUUCCGUGUGUAAAAAAGUAAAGAAGGAAUGUGUGGUGUGAUCUUAUUUUGGUGUAUUUUGUGCUUAUGUAUGCAUCAGUAAUAUUAUGUUUGAUUUAAGUAACUAAAAAUUGAUAUGGGUGUGGACUAUUUUUUCUAUGUUUGGAUCCCUAUUAAUGUAUUAUAUUAGGUUGGGAAUUUUAUUUCAUUGAUGUUUUAGUCCGAUACAACUUAUUUCCUCAGAUCUUAAUGGUUGUGAUCGAAUUAAAAUUAUUCAUCAGUUCGGUAUGAGGUAAGUGUUUGAAGAAGUAAGAUAGAGUAAUGAAAACUUGUAAAAAAAACACAACACAAAACAAAGUGAAGAGUGGAGAACAACCUCACUGGAAUGUAGAUAAUUUAAUAGAUGUAAGUCAUUUAUUCAUUUUUAAUUGAGAAAAAAUAAAAUAUUAAUACUAUUGUUAGAAAUUUAUUUAUCAUAAAGUUUUCUUGGAUUUCGUACAAAAUAUAUCAAAGAAAUUGAUAUUAGUUUCCAUGAACUUAUCUCAAGUACCAUUUUUUGUCGCAAAGAAGCUUCCGAGAAGAGGAUUUUUUUGAACAAAAAUAAAGGAGGGGAGAAGGUAGAAGGUGUGGAAUAGAAGAAUGGGGAAUGGUAUUUAAGUUAUAUUGGAGAUAAUUAAUGGAUGGAUGUAUUGAUAUGAUUUUUAUCUUCUUAGAUGAUUGCGUAAAUAGGAUGAAUGCGUGGAAAAUUUAUUCGGUGGAAGCAAAUAUAAAUUCUCUUUUUAAUCUCAAACAAGAGAGUAGUAUUUUUUGGUGAAGAAGGGUUUAGUAAUUUAAUCAAUUUUUUUUAUAAAAAAAAUUUUAUUUUUGUUUUCAAUUUUAAAAAUGAUUUUGGAAAGUUUGAUUGUGAUGUCCUACAUCGAAUAAGAAAAAAAGUUUAUGACGAAGUAUGAACUCUUUUUAACUUUGUAAAUAUGUUUUAAAGUUAUAAUGACCCUUUUUGACUUAAAGUAGACAAUAAUUACAUGAUUAAGUAUGAGUUGUUAUAAAAGACACAUGAGAGUCAUUUUGUUUGUUUGGUCUCACAAUUUUAUAGGAUACAACAAGGACGUUGUGUUUACAUAAGGGGUGAUUGUGAUGUCCUAUAUUGAGGGGUGAUUGUGAUGUCCUAUAUUGGAUAAAAGAGAAAGUUUCUGACAGUACAUAUAUGUAAGUUCCUUUGAACCUUAUAAAUGUGUUUUAAAGUCGUGAAAACCUUAUUGGGAUCGAGCAAACAAUAUGUAUAUGGUUGAGUGUGAGUCAUUACAAAUGAUACUAGAACUAAUCUUUUACCCUUGUGUGGGAUUUUGUUUGGCCCUAUGAAGGGUGUCUACUUGUUUAGCCUCGCAAUUCCAUGUAACACAAUAAAAAAGUUGUGUUUGCAUGGGGAAGGGAGACAGUGUUUGUGAUGUCCCACAGUGGAUAGAGAAAAAAAUUUCUAGCACUAUAUAAAUAUAAAUUCCUCUUAAUCUUAUAAAUGCAUUUUAAAGUUGUGAAAGCCCCUUUGAAUCUAGAGUCGACAAUAUCUACAUGGUUAGAUGCAGGUCAUUAUAAAAAACACAUUAUAAGUCCGUACGGACUCCUUUAGAUUCAGAAUAGACAAUUUCUACACAAUUGAGUGUUAAUCAUUACAUUGACUUAAUAAUAUUAGGUUUAUUUUGAAUAUAUUUAGGGCUUAUAACUUUUGGAAAAUAUUUGUUAUAAAAAUAAUUAGGAAACUUUUAAGAUGAAUUUAGAAGUGAAAAGUGUUUGCAAAAAGUGGAAAAAUCUCGGAUAAAACAAUGUCAUGUUAUCUACUACGAUUUUUUUUCUUUGCUUUUGUUGAAACUCUUUUUUGCUUCCAACCUUUUACAAGGACCAAAUACUAGUAGUUUCUAUUAAGCAAAACAACAAAACAGGACAUAGGGCACAGAAUGGCAAAAUAUAGAAUGAUAGAAAUCUAUUUUCAUUAAUAUUUCCAUAAAUAAAAAAUAAUAAGAUAUUAAUAAUAUUUUAUUCUCCUCAUUUAGAAAAUAAUAUUUAUUUUAAAUCAAUCAAGACCAAUCAAGAAUAUUUUAUUCUCUUAAUUUAGAAAAUAAUAUUUAUUUUCUUAAUUUUAGAAUAUUUAUUAUUUCUAUCUUUCUAUAAUCCACAAUGCAUCAUUGUAUAAAUUUCUGAAAAGAGAAAAUAAGAAAAUCAUUUUCAUUGUCUAAUUUUCAAACUUUUCAUGGUAUUAAAGUUAGGAUAGGAGGCUCGAAUUUGAGUUUUUUUUCAAAAAGUGGUCAAAUGUCAUAAAAGACUUAACCUACCCUCACAAACCAUAUCUUCAUUUUCAAAAAUAAAAAUUGCCUAGUGUUUUAGUCUUCCAUCAAUAUUCUUUCUAGUUUGAUUUCAAUCAAGUUAAACACCACAAAUUUUCUAUUGUGGUGAAAUCAAAUCAUCCUCUUAAUUCAUGGCUUCAAUGUUCUAGCUUUUCAUCAAUGUUUUACACUUUCAUUAGUGUUAUUUCUAGCUUAUUUUAAUCAAGCUAAACACCAUAAAUUUCCUAUUAUGGUCAUCCUUUUAGUUUGUGGCAUCGGUGUUCUCCAACAUCUCUUAGGUGAAAAAAACCUAUUGAAAAAAGUUAAAGAUGAUAAAGGAAGCAAAAGUUCUAUCUUGUAAUACCAAUUAUUGAUCGACAAUGACAAAUUUAUCACUUCACGAAUUCUUGGAAUCAUGAAAGAACAUAUUUUAAGCAUGAUCUUUGGUGUUGACAUGGUAUAUGAGGUAUGAACUUUUCUUAAAGAGCAAUUGCUUUAUGUUAUAGUUGAAAAAAAAAAUCUACUGAAAAACUUUUAAAAGACUUCAAAUAUAUAUAUAUGACAAUCUUGUUGUAAUCAAAAGCCAAUUUUAGACCAUGUAAACGUCCGUCGAUUUGUUCAUGGUUCAAGAUAAAGGUAUGAAUUUUUUUUUCACCUAUAUGCUUUUCUAGCCAAUUUAUAGUAGCUCUUCAAGAACAUAAAGAAUCACUCACAACCAAAAAAGAGGAGAGAAAAUGUUCUUAGAGCAUGAACAAUUUUUAUUUAGAUGAUAGGGUCAUGAUCAAAAUGGUUGAGAGGGCUCCACUCUUUCUAUGUGUUACGAUUCUUAUAUAUAUAUAUAUGCAUGUUUUUAUCAAGUCCUUGUCAAAGGAUGUCUUCACUAUGUUUCAAGACAAGUUGGGGAUCCAUAUUCAUUCUCACUCCAUCUUGAGGGGCAUGAUUAAGGAAAUAAAAUAAAAUAGGACAAAUGACGAAGAAUGGCGUGGAAUGAUAAGUUAAUCCAUCUUAGUUAUUAUUUCCAUAAAUUAAGAAUAACCAAAUAUUAAUGAUAUUUGAUUUUCCUAAUUUAAGAAAUAAUAUUUAUUUUAAAUAAAUUAAGAGCAAUCAAAUAUUAAUGAUGUUGGGUUAAACACACUUUACCUUCUCAACUUUUUCGUGGGUUUUACAUUUUGUGCCCUCAUAUUCAAAAUUCAACAAUUUUCCCUCCAAACUUCUUAAAAAUUAGCAUUACACAUUUUUGUUGGAUGACGUUACAUCUAUUAAACAAAAAAUGACGCGCUUUACACAUGACUUAAUAAGUAAAGAUGAAAUUGUCAUUUGAAACACUCAAAACCUUAAAUCCUUUUCAAUUUUUUUUUGUUCUUCCUCCAAACUCUUCAAUCUCUAUUUUUCUUCCUCCAAAGCCCUAACUUCCCAAAACCCUAAAAUCACAAAAACCCAAUGCAACCAUUGAAGGGCUGAGAAUUUGAUUAAAUAUAUGGAUUUCAUUGGUAGUUUUUUUCUUUUCCUUGUAAUUUUUUGCUUCAAUUUUUCUUUGAUAGCUAAGAAAAUUUUGAGAAGAGAAUAAAUUUUGAGUGAUGAUGUGUUUAAGGUUAGAGUUUCCUUUUGAUAGUUGAGAAAAUAUUGAGAAAGAGAACAAAUUUUAGGUGAUUAAGGUUAGAGUUUCCUUUUGAUAGUUGAGAAAUUUCGUAAAAGAGAACAAAUUUAGGUGUUUAGGGUUUUCUUUUCAUAAUUGAGAAAUUUCCUUUUCAUAGGUGUUUAUCUCCUAUCAAUUUAGCUUUCUUAUGACAUAUCUUAUUAUUAUUAUUUCCUUUUCAUCAACAUUGCAUCUAUUGAUUUACCUAAUAUGAAUUUUGUGUCAUAUGUUUGCAAAUCAACAAUGACUAUUUUACCAUCAAACUACAUUAUGAAAGGAGGUUUAGGCGGGAGAAAAUAAAGGCUAAUAAGAAAAACACCUAAUAGAGAGGUGAAUUGGGUUUUUCAAAAAGUUUUUCAACACUACAAAUUUAAGCACAAUAGAAGCAAAAAUAAUGAGAUAGAGUUAGAGAAUUCAAACUUAGAUUUUAUAGUGGUUUGACACUUCCUUACCUACGUCCACUUUCCUCAAGUUCCUAACCGAGUGAGGGUUCCACUAACUUGAAGCUUCAAUCAAACUUCUAAUUUUCUUUACACUUGGAUUUUGACUCCAAUAGGCUCUUACACAAUCACUUCAAGAUUCAACACACUUGAAGGCUCUAACACUCAAUUUACAAGAAUGAUCUUCUUUCAACCUAGCUCAAUAAUGGCUCAAAUACAAAUCAAAGCUAGGAUGACUCACAAGGGUACACUAAAAGAUAUGCAAGUGAAGACUUAAUGCACCAAGAAAGAAAUGAGAGCUUUUAAGGCAAGAACAAGUGGGUAGACAAUUGAAUGCAAGAGUUCUCUAUGUCAGAAAUGAAGUAGAGCUCUCAAUUUAUAGGUUUCUAACAUCGAAAGUCAAGAAAAAUAAAAAGCAGCCUCAACCAGUCGAGUUGGGGGUCGACCGGUUCACUAGUCGUUUGAACAUUUAAUGCUUUGGUAGGUUAUUGUUGCCUCGACCGGACCUCGACCAAAGGUCGACCGGGAAUGAGAAUACCUCAAUCGGGAAGGAAAGACUACUGGAUGAGAGAGUGUUUUUAACACUUCUCGACCGAAACUCGACCAGACAAAGGCAACCAAUCGAUCGGUUCCUUGGUCGGUUGAUCUAGUUGGCCAGUGUCUUGACUAGUUCAACCUUUUGACCCUGAAAACCUAUCUUUUGUGUUUUUCUCUUUUCUAACACUUAGGUAAGGUUUUUAGAUAAAUUAAUAUGCUAAUUUUGAAACAUUUUGCCUAACGUAUAGUUGAUAAAACUCGGGUUUUAAUGAAAUUAUAAUUUUAAAUAAUAAACCGAGUUUUCUAAAGAUGCAUGAAAAGAUAUGUAACACCUAAGUGCACCUAUGCAUUCAUCUUACAUUUGUUUCCUAUGAUUAAAAGUCUUCCAAAAGUCUCGAUCUUGUAUCCAUUAGGUUCUUUGAUUAAUUUCCAAAUUAAUACUUGAGGUUCUUUACAAUUCAAACCAAUUAGUAACUUAACCAUGGUUUGUUAUCAUCAAAACCUGAUUAGGAGAAUAUUUGAGCUAACAAGGCGUAAUAUGAGACUUGUACUUAAGAUUAGUGAUUAUUUGGGUGGAAAAUUGGAUCAUGUUGAUAAUUGUGACAAAAAUGUAGUGUCUUUUAUUGAGUUGGAUCAUAUGUUGUUUUGAUUAAGAUAUAAAGAUUGCAUUGGGUAUUGCUAUGCGAAUAAGAAUGGAGAAUUGGUAUGGUGCUUAGCAGAUUAAAUUGUCUUAGAAAUGUGAAACUCAUGUCCAAGGGAUAAGAAAAUCGAAGUGUUUGUCAAGCACACAGAGGUUUUAUAUCUUGCUUAAAGUGAAAUUGGGUCUUCAAAUGUUUAUAGUCAUCUUGGUGAAAGUGUUUAUGAAGUUGAAGACUCUAGGACUAAUGUAGAACUAGAACUUGAUGUAGAUCAAACACCUCAACAUGAAGAUAACAUAAAAUCAUAAUAUGAAGAGGUUAGGAGAGAUUCAUCUAGAGAUAAGUGACUUUGAUGAUGAUGAGUAUCUAGUUAGUGAUAAUGAUGACUUGUAUGACAAUUAUGUGGAUGAUAAUGAAGAGUGGGUUAGGAUAAGAGGCAAAUAAGAUAACGAGGGAAGAGUUGAGAAGGAAAGCAAAACAAUGAAUGAUGUGGAGGAUGAAAAAAAAACCUUUGUGAUGAUGAUACGAGGAGUUUAGCUAGUGAUAGCAAAGAGGAAUUUAAUAGAGACAAGCCUCGGCACCCUUAAUUUGUGGGUGAUACAGAUAUGACAAAUCCUAAGUUUAGGGUAGUGUUACUAUUCAAAAGUGUAGUUGAGUUUAGAGCUACAAUAAGGGAAUAUGCCAUAAAAAUUGGUAAAAACAUGAAGUUCAUUAAAAAUAAGAAUGACAGAGUAAGGGUAGUUUGUUCAACUAGGUCCCCUUGGGUUGUUUAUGCAACUCAAGUAAGGGAUGAUAAGAAAUUACAAGUAAGGACUUAUAAUGUAAAACAUACUUGUGGUAGGGCAUUCAAAAAUGAUAAUCUCACAUCAAGGUAUUUUCCUAUAAAAGUACUAACUAAUUCAAACUUAAGAAAGUAACUUACCUUAAAAUACUAACUAAUUCUCCAUAUAAAAAAAUAUUUCCUAUAAAAGUACCAACAACAAAAGCAGCAUAAUUAAAUACAUUUUACGAGUAUUACUUCUAAAUAGGUAUUGGCUUCUUUUAAUUAACAAGUUAAACCUUAAAACAAAUCAAAAGACAAGGAUGUUAAACAAUUCUCAUUUAUAAGAAGUUGAUAAAUUUUUAUAAAAAAAAAUAGAGGUUUUGAUAUUGACAUGGGGAUAUAUCUCAAAACAUUUUAAAAACAUGAUAAAAAAGGACGAGGUGUCAGAAGGAGAUCGACGAAGGUAACAAGAAUUUAUUCGUCCGUAUAUCCUACCUCCUUUUAGUUAGUUGAGUCGUGCAUCAAAAAAGUUCCCAUAUCACACUAUUUAUUUUUGUUUUUCUCUUUUUUCCUUUUUUUGUUUUUUUUUUCAAAUUUAAUGAGAUGUGAAAAUUAGGUCUCAUGGAACUUUGCGAAGUUGACCUAAAUUGGGCUUUUAAAUGUACAGGCCAGGCCCAAACCACACCAUAACCCGGAUGUACAAGCCAAAAGUUAAUGGGCUUAGUCUUUCUCCAAUUUUUAGACACGAAAUGUUCCUCAUUUCAGCUCAUUAAUGUACUGCCAAAAGUGAUUGUAUGUGCAUACAUCAGAGAAAGUAGGCAGUCAGUUGAUGACAUUUACUGUGUACUUAGAAGUUAAAAAAUGAAUGUGUGGUCAUUGUCAUGUACCAGCAAUUAAUUUUGAUUAAAGUAAAUAAAGAUAGUGUGGGUGAAAUAAUUGUUAUAUGUGGAUAUUAAUUCCCGAUGAUGUAUUAUAUUAGGUUGAUAGUUUUUUUCAUUAAUAUGCAGUACUAGUCGCAUACAACUUACUUCCUUAAGUCUGAAUUACCAUUAUCAUUUUAAAUUACUCAAACCUGUUCGAUUCCAAAACUAGAUGAUAUAAACGUUCGAAGAAGUAAGACAAAAUCAAUGAUAACGUAAAAGUGAAAAAAAGAAUUAAAAAAUGGAGAAAGACAUGAACUUUGGAAAGGCACUAGGAAAAGUGAUGGAAAUAUAGUUCAAAAGUUUUGCAGAUAGUUCAAAUACAUUUGUAACUUAAGAUGAAUAAAAGUAAAUAUAAGUUCAAAUUAAUGAACAAAUAUUAUUUAAAAUUAAUGAGAAUAAAUAUAUUAAUUUAAUUAUUUAAAAUAAAUUUUAAGUUAAUUUUAUUCAAUAAUUUUAAUAUUUAAAUUUAAAAGGAAGUUUUAAAUCAAUAUUAACUUAAAAUUAACUUAAAUAAUUAAGUAAUAAGUUUUACCCGACAUCCUUUUAAUUAUUCACUAUUGAUUCAUCUUUCUUUUACCAUUUCUCUUAUCCAAUUUAAAACAUUAGAAAUUCAUCCAUUUAUGUUUUCUAUUUAAUCUCUUUAGCAAACUCACCGUAUUUGAGUAGUUAAAUUAAAUCAUAUGUUUCCCACUUUUUGGGAUUUUGAGAAAAAAUAAAUAAAUUUUAAAAGAUAUUUAUUAAAAUAUGAUAAUUUUAAAAAUAUUUUAAAAUUUAUAAUAAUGGAUAAAAAAAUCCAAUUGGAAAUGUUUUUGAAGCAUCAUAUUUUAAUAAAUAUUAAAAAAUAGUUUUUUUUCUUCUUUUUUUUUUUUCCCUCAAAAUCCCCAGUUCUUGAGCAUCACUCUCCCACUUCUAGUUAAUUUGCAACCGCAUGUUCCAAUUUCGUUUGUUGAUGAGACAUUUCAAUAAUCUCAUUUAUUAUUCGAACUGCUCUCACAGGUUUAGACGUUUCUUUGCCUUGUGCCUUGGCUAAGGAUAAUCUAGUUUUUUCUUAUCAUGCACCAUGUUAAGGUAUGGGAAAUUGUCUUAAACAAAAAUAUUGUUCAGCAUUUAAUGCCCAUUAGACUUAAUUUCAUUUACCUUCCCUUAGAUUUUUGCUAAUACAUUUGAUUCUUAUAAAUUUAAAAUUUCAUCAAAUAUCUUUUUUAUUUCUUUUUAUUUUUUAUUUUCAUUUACCUUUAUUCUCAUUCAAAAUAAAUAAAGUAUAUAAUAAAAUUUCAAAUUUAUGAAAACCAGGUAUAAUUAGUCAAAACCUUAGGAGAAUGAAAUUAACUCAAUCCCACUGUAUAUUCUUGUAUGAUUAAGUAUUAAGAUGAAUAUAAUAUAUCUUUAAUAUGAGUAUAAAUAAAUAUAAUAUCAAAUUAUAUAUAAAAAUGAUAGUUCAAUGUUACUAGGGAUGACAACUGGGCGGGUUCGAGCCAGGUCACCCGCGUCCCAACCCCGUCCCGUUUAUUCGAAACAAUUCUCAUACCCAUCCCAUUUAAAAAGUUAAACGGAGCGGACAGGUACGACCAUUUAACUUUUUUUUGAAUUUGAAUUUGAAUUUUUUUUUAAAUUACUUUGAAAAAUUUUAAUUAUAUUAAAAUAAAUAUAUUUUAUAAAUAAUUAAAUUAUUAUAUUUUUAUAAUUUAUUUUAUUAAAAAUAUUUUAUUAUUAUCUAUAUAUUAAAAAUAGUAAAAUAAAAAUUAAAUUAAAUUAAUCUUAAAUUUUAAAUUUAAUUUAAUUUUAUAUAUAAUUGGGACGGGGCGAGGGCGGGCAAUACCCGAACCUCGCCCGGGUUUUUUAAAAAAUAUUUUAUUAUUUGAUCAUCGAACCUCCCAGAAAUGAAUUGAUGAUCAAAUAAUCCAAGAAAAAAAGCAUCAAAUCUAUGAUAUGUGUAAUGAAAGUAAGUAAAUUAAGAAGCUCGUGUUAGGCAUGAACCUGUAUCAUAUGAACCUUCCCAAAACCAAGGAGACUCGCAUUAGCCUAUUUUAUGUGCUUCACUUGCUGUAUAUUAGUAGGUGUAUGAAUAGAAUAUUAAUCUUUCUGAAGAAAAAAAAAAAGGGAAGAAGAAGACUCGAGUGCUCCUUUUUAAAUGCUUCCCUUUGGAUAUCAUUAUAUCAGCAUGGACUAGCUGGCAGCAGCCUGUUACUUACUCGAUUGGAAUUAUGAAGCCUGCAUGCAAUGAGCUGGUGAUUCAUAUUUCACAGGUGGGAUGGAACUUCCAGUUUUGCCACUUUUGUGUUUUACUUUUUUCAUAUCCUCUCCUAUUCUAGUUUCUUCUCAUUCCUUCUAUUUUCUGGACGUUGUCUUUCGUUCAAGCCUAUAAUAUGUUGUCAUGUAAUAAAAAACUUUGUAUCAUUUAUAUAUUAAAAAAGUUAAAUUUUAUUUAUUUUUAAAUUAAUUUUAAGUAAAGUAUUCUCAAUUAUUAUUAUUAUAAAUAAUUAUCAUUUAUUUUUCACAAAAACUCAAUUGUACUUUUAAAACGAUAUUAAUAUCCAUAUUUUUCUAAUAUAUAUUCAAGUGCUAUGGUUUUUUUUUUUUUAAAUGAAAAAUGUAAUUGUUUAUUACUUUUAUUGUAAUAUUAUUAUUUAUAUUGUACUAAAAACUAUUCAUUUAAAAUUGAUUUCUGAUAAUAAAUAUCUAUUUUCUUUUUUAAUAAUGCUUAAAUUGAAUUCAACAAAUAUCAUAUCAAUUGAAUUUAUAAUGAUUUUACAAAAUCAAAAUAAAUGAAAUUUAAAAAUAAAUUAUCCAAUUAAUUUUAUUCCUUUUUUUUCUUUCAAUUUUUGAUAAAUGUUUUAAAGAACAAUUUAUCAAACGUUGUAAUUUUUAAAAAAUACCAAAAAACAAUUUUUUGAUAAAAACAAACAUGUGGCAAAAACAAAUCUUAUACAUCUAAAAAUAAUAAUGGUUUUCAUUUUUAUAAACUACUAAAAAACACUAAUUAUGAAAAAAAUAAACUUGAAAAAACAAACUUUAUACAUUUUAAAAUAAUCAUGAUUUUAUGUAUUUUUUUUAUUAAAUGUGAUAUCUUUUGUCGAUCAUGUAUUAUCUUUUAGUGGUUAUUUUUUUUAGCCCUUCAUAUUUAAUGUAAAUAUGCUAAAUCAUCAUAGGUUUUGAAUUUGGUCAACUAGAACCUUAUCAAUACAUUUUAUAUAUAAAUACUGCAUUUUCAUUUAAGAUAUUUAUACCAGAAAUCUCUGAAAAAAAUAAAUUCCCAAUUGGAAGGGAUGCUAAUAGACAGUUUAAAUUGAUUAAGUAUAUUUAUACCAAAUGUUAAUGGUGCCAAUGAAAUUAGCCCCAUCUUUUUAGGAUACGGAUGAAAGUUACACAGAAGAUUAAAAUGAUUUUUGUGCCUUUUUUUAUGUUAAAUGAAAAAUACUUAUUCUCUCUUUUACCCCUAUUUGAUUGAGGGGUUGGUUUAUUUCACUGCCAGCCAACCUAAUAAGUUUGAAACGUUUUUUAAAGCUUUGUUUUUCGUAUUUUAGUAUUGACAAACCCAACUUUCACUUCAGGUGUUGCAAUUGAUAGAAUCAAAGACAGGACAUGGAUCAAAUUAGUGGCGCAAGCAGCAGACAAGGUAUGAAUUGAGGCUUCUCUUUGAUACACCUAACCAUGUAACGUAUAUUUAUGAAAAUCAAAUAAAAUUAUUUGCAAAACUAUUAAACAGUAUGAUUAAUACAUUACAGUUCUGUACAAUAUAUAUCAACCCAAUUACUCACCGCGUAGCUUAUUAGAUUUUUCUAUUUUGAAUUAAAUUAAACUGCCAAAUGCAAUAUAUUUUCAGAUAUUUGUAAACUCUAAUUGAGAGUGUCAAAGGUUUAUGCAACAUAUUUUGUAACUAAACUACCAAAUGAGGAAUAUUGUUAAUUAUGCUAUUCGUAAAGUCUUUUAGUAUUUGAGUGGUACCAUUAGCUAUGGUCUGUGUUAUAAUGGAUUUCUAAGUGUCCUUUUAGGAAUUAGUAAUGCAAUUUUGAUCUUGAAUUUAGAUGAUAUGAAAUCCACUUACGGAUAUGUUUUCAUCCAUGGUUGACGUGCAGUUUUUUGGAAGUUUACCAAGCAAACUUGCAUUACUUGGUUCACUGUGGAGGUUGAGUUCAUUGCUUUAGAAAAAGUAAGUUUUGAGGGUGAGUAGCCUAGAAACCUCUUAAUAGAUAUCCCUAUAUGGACGAGACUAGUCUAGCCCAUGGCCAUGCAUUGUGAUAGGCACGUUGCAAUUGCUAAGACUAGGGAUAAAAUACUUAAUGGGAAGAAUAAGAAUAUAAGCCUAAUGCACCAUAUUUUGUAGUAGCUACUUGAAACAUGGGUAAUAUGCCAAGAAAUUGUGAGUUAGGAGUUUAAUUUGGCCGAUCUUUGAUCAAACCAUUAAAUAAGAAACUAGUGGAAGAAACAUCCAAGGGAAUGAGACCUAUGCUUAGUAUAAAAGUAAAGAGUGGUGGUAACCUAAUUUAUUAGAAUGCAAAUUUUGUAAAAUAGGUUUUUAUGAGUAAUAACAAUUCACUUGUUGACUUGAGCUGCAGUAUCAAUAUUAAUUGUAUUAGAGCCUAUCCCUAUUGUGUAGAUAGAGUGUAUUUUGCAUUGACAAACGUUGAGUGUUUACUUUUAGUAAAUAUCAUAUUCCUUGUGAAUGUUAUGUUUAAUGUAUAAUAUACUUGAUGGAUUUCCUUCUAUGAGAUUGUAGGUGGGGUCGUAGACAAAUUCUUAGGAGCUCUCAUGAAUAUUCAAGUAGGGCUCAUGGUCAAUUUGUGCCAACCUAUUUUAUACAACUUGGAGUUUCAUAAAAAAACAUUGGUUCAUAAAUAUUUAUUCUCAUCGUGUUUUAUGUUCCAAAUGUCGCCGACAUAGCCUUCGUAUUUGUUGUGGUUGAGAUUGGUGUUGAUCCGCUCCGAAUUCAUGUAUGCGAUAGUACCCAUCGAUGAGUUACACGGAUCUAUGGUCUCAACCAAGAUCUGACUCACUUCAAAGUCGACGAUCUUCACUUGUCGCCUGGCAUUGAUUAGGAGGUUCAAGGGUUUGAUGUCGCAAUGUUUGAUUUCCCAACGAUGGAGGUAGUGGAGGCCAAAGAGGAUCUGAAAAGUGAGAUUCGAGAGAGCGAGCUCGAAGGAGAAAAUACAAAGGAAAAACACUAUUUCCCUCUAUAUUUUCUUAGCUAUAGAAGAAAAAACUAAAGCAAAACAGUGUAAAAAAAAAAAAUACUAGUAAAAUCCACUUCAAUCAAACUCUUAGCUUUCAAUGUGUGCAUUUGGAAUUUGAGGCUUUUAGAGCUUGGAAGGUUAGGGUUUCAAAUGAAGGAUGAAGAUGAAGAAUUAGGGAGAGUUCUAUUAGGGUUUUUAGGUGAUUGAAUUUACAAAUCUACCCUUAUUUAUUCAGUCACGCAUGUGAUAUUUUUGUCUAUUAAAACUAAUACAAUCUAAUAAAAAAGGCAAAGUAUUGGUAUUUAUGAAGUUUGGAGAGCAAUGUAUUCAAUUUUGAACCUGAAAGGACAAUAAACAAAACAUGUUUUAGGUUGAGAGGGUAAAAAGUAUAUUAAACUUUGAUAAUAAUAUUUGAAAGUAGUGGUGCAUAUAAAGAAAAUCAGUGACACAGAUCAACCCACGUAUUUUAUUGUUUGUUAAAAAAGAAUUUACAAGUUUCCAAUGCAAUCAACCAUGAUCAACUAUCAAUUCUAUAUAAAUUAUAUUUACAACUAGUUACAUAUUAAUGACUUCAGAAAUAAAUACAAUUCGUAAUGCAGCAGGCUUAUCUGCCCUUCUACUUCUCCAAAAGGAUAAGCUUCUUGUACAACCAAGUUGCCCAACUUCUCUUUAGAAAAACGCAAUACUGCUGUCUGCCAUUUUUUAGCUUCUCUUCUUGUUCCAACCAUAAACAAGAUUUGUCAUGCUUAAAUUCCAGUUUCCGAGCAAUUGCAUGUACAUCAAUAGAUGGGUUUCUUUAGCUUCUCUGCAAAAGGCUGAACGCUUUGCAAUAAUCUUCUUCCAACAAAAAGUCAAAAUGUACCCAUCGAUCGAUAUCUUUUCUUUAAUUUUUUUCUUUUCAUCAAAGUGAAGAAAGGAGAGUACUUUUAUGUCAGCUUUAUUCAUAAAGUCUCUAAAUGGAAUCAUGAUGUAGAAUGAAAAUCAAGUGGAUGCUUUAUCACUGGUUCUUGGACAGAUGGGAUUCUUUGUUCAUUCAUGAUUCAACCCAUCAAUGUCCAUUUAAUUUUUUUUAAUUUUAUUAUUAUUAUUAUUAUUAUUAUUAUUAUUAUUUUUGCUUUAAAAAUAAGUAAGUAAUGUGAAUAGGAUUUCAAAGAUUCCUGCAAUAUCACCUUUACAAAUUUUAUUUUUUUUUUAUUUUAUUAUUAUGCCUUCGAGGUGUGGGAUUGACCUUUUUUUAUUUGAUAAGAAGUAAAGGAAAGUAUAGCUGUUUAAACUUUAAACAGAUGAUUCAUGAAAAUAUUUAGUGAUUAAGGGUUUGUUUGGUUGCCUUUUUUGAGAACUAUUUUUUGUUUUUAAAAAUAAAAAAUAUUAAAAAUAUAUUUGAUAAAUAUCUCUUUUUUAGAGAAAAAAAUAUUAUUUUUUUUUAUUUUUUGACCAUUGAGAGAACUAAAAAGAAAGGCAUCAGAGAAGAAUUGUUCUUUAUAUUUUCUUUUUUCUAUUCUCACUUUUUCCUAUAUGUAGUUUCUCAUCCAAGAUGAAACAAAGUGAAACCAUUUGUUUUUUUGUUUGUUUUAUCAUAUUGAAACCUUUAUUUUAUUUUUGUUUUUUUUUUAAAUAUAAUUUUCUUUUGGAAUUGGAUUAUGGAAUCAUUUCUCAAUUCUAUUAUUCAAAUGGGAUCUAGGUGGUUUUUUAAUUCCAUCAAGUGUUUUUUGUUUUUAAAUUUUUCUCGUUUGGAUGUUAAGAAAAUUAGGGAAAGAUAAGGAAAAGAAUUUGACAUGAGUAGAAUUUUUUUGGGUGGUUUUAAGUAGGAUUUUUCUUGGGUUAUUUUUAGGAUUUCAAUACGAUUGCUUAUUUAUGUUUGUAAAUUCUCUUUUGGUAUAUUCAAUUCUAGAAAUGAAGUUAAACGCCACGCAUCACAUUUAAAAAUUCUGUCAACAUCAACACAAUACUUUUCAAAGUAUUGUGAAUUUUUUUUUAAAGGUAAAUAAAAGAAUAUCUUCAAAUAUCCGAAAUUAUUCAAACAUGGAGGAAAUAUAUUCUUUUGAAAGAAGAGAAAAUGAAAAGAAAAACAAAAUUGACAAAAGAAAUAGUAGUGGUUAGGCUUGGUUUGAUUACAGCCUAUGCAGGCAAGUUAUUAAAGAGGAGGUUGGGAUGGGCCUCCACAAAAGCAAUUCGCCAUUGACGUGAUUAAAUGCAGCCGAAAGUGUAAGAUCAAGCAUUCAAAGCUCUAUAUAAAAUCACAAAAUCAUGUGGUUGCUUUGUUAUUCAUUCAACCCGUCAUUGUCUUUUUAAUUUUUGUAAUUUUUUUGCUUUAGAAAAGUUAUAAAUAAAUAAAUAAAAAGUAGUGUGAAUGGGAUGAGAUUUAAAAGAUGGGUACCAUGGAAUCACCUUUACGAACUUCAUUUUUUAUUUUUUUAAUUAGGACUUGGAGACUUGGAAUUGACUUUCACCCUGUCAUUGUCUUUUUAAUUUUUGCAAUUUUUUUUGCUUUAAAAAAGUUAUAAAUAAAUUUAAAAAAAAAAAAAAAAAAAAGUAUGAAAUGGGAUGGGAUUUCAAAGAUGCCUACCAUGGAAUUACCUUUACAGUUUUUUUUUUUUAAUGAGGACUCAAAGAGUUAGGUGGCGUUUAUUUUUUAUAUUUAAUUUUAAAUAAAAUUUUAAUAUUUAAUAGUUUAAAAUAUUAGAUUGUUUAUUUUUAUAGUAUUUUAUUUUUGUUAAAUAUUAAAAAAUAAAAAAAAUCAGUAUAUUAUUUUUUUUAUUUAAAAAAAUUAUAUAUUUUGAUUUUUUUUAUUUAUUAAAAAAUUUAUAAUAAGUCAUAAAAAAAAUAGAAAAAUAAAUAACUUAAAUUUUAAAAAUAAAUUACUUUCAAUAAAAAACUAAAAAAAUAAACACCGCUGAGGGAUUGACUUUUUUAUUAGAUAAGAAGCAAGAGAAACUAUCGUUGUUUGAAUAGAGGAUUCGUAUAAAUAUCUACUGACUUGACUCUUUUCCAUGUACACAUGGAGUACAUAAGAAUCGAAGGACUCGUUUUGUUUUGUUCUUUUAUUUUAAAUUUCAGAACAAGGCUUUGAGUUUUAUCUAGAAUAAGGUAAUUUUGCAUCUGGAUUUGGAUUUGUGAUAUUUUACCUCAUGCUUUUCAUAUUCGCAUAGUCUUUAGGAGACACGAAAACAUCAUUAUAUGUUUUGUAAAGGACCUUUUUUGACAUUCCCCAAUUAUUAAAAAGUUUGGAGAAGGCACGGCCUGUAUUUAAGGAUACACAGGGUCUUGCUAGUUUUUGGAGAAGGACAGCUUACUCGAAGCUGCUUUCAAGCAGUACUACUUGGGGGAACCUUUUCAGGUAUGGCGGCUGUAAGCUUCUUUUUAUUUUUUUAUCAAUUUGCUCCAUGUUCUGCCCAUUUUCUGGAUUGAUGUGGAAAUUAAGGUUUAAAUGGUGUUUUUGCUGAAUCUGAAUUUGUUUUCAUACUUUGUUUUGGUUUUCUACUGAUCCCUUUUAUUUUUCCUCUAAAUACCUAACGUUUGGAUUGUUCUUGAGUUGGAUACUUGCUAAUCAUGCCACAGCUCUCUGCUUGUCCCACUUACGUUCAAGCCCAUGGAUAACACAAUGAAAUGUGGUUCUCUCUAACUAUUUGUCUGUACCACUUUUGUAUUUUACUUUCUUCAGAUCCUCCCCUAUUCUAGUUUCUUCUCCUUCCUUCUAUUUUCUGGACAUUGUCUUUCGUUCAAGCCUAUAAUAUGUUGUCAUGUAAUGAAAAACUUUGUAACAUUUAUAUAUUAAAAAAGUUAAAUUUUAUUUAUUUCUAAAUUAAUUUGAAGUAAAGUGUUCUCAAUUAUUAUUAUUUUAAAUAAUUAUCAUUUAUUUUUCACAAAAACUCAAUUGUACUUUUAAAACGAUAAUAUCCAUAUUUUUCUAAUAAAUAUUAAAGUGCUACGCUUUUUUUAAAAUGAAAAAUGUAAUUUUUUAUUUUAUUAUUAUAUUAAUAUUUAUAUUGUACUAAAAACUAUUCAUUUAAAAUCGAUUUGUAAUAAUAAAAAACUAUUUGCAUUUUUAAUGAUGCUUAAAUUGAAUUCAACAAAUAUCAUAUCAAUUGAAUUUAUAAUAAUUUUAUAAAAUCAAAAUAAAUAAAUAAUUUAAAAAUAAAUUAUCCAAUUAAUUUUCUUUUUUUUUCUUUCAAUUUUUUAUAAAUGUUUUCAAGAACUGUUUACCAAACACUGUAAUUUUAAAAAAUACAAAAAAAAACUCACUUGUUCAAAUCUUGAUCUAUAAAUGUGAUACAACGAAUUUUGUCACAAUCUUCUCUCUCUUUUUCUUGAAUAUCUUCAAUUAAUUCACGAGGCAUGUUGUUUAACUCUAGUCUUCGAAGAUUUUUCAGUCUCAACAAUCCACUAAAAAGCCUUUCUAGUUUACAACAAUUGUUAAUUUGCAAAAUUCGUAGACAAGGCAUUACUCAUUUCUUCACUUUCAAUUUUCAACCACUCUAAUUGGUGCAACCAAUCUAAUUUUAGUAGCUCAAGUCUAAGGAACCUUCCAAAAAGCAAAACCAAUUCAUUUCCCACAUAUGCAAAACUCAUUAAUUUAAGAACCCUCACGUUUGGCAACAUAAUUAUAUCCCUUGUUAUUCAUCCUUUUUUACAUUCCUCAAUUAUUAGGAAGGAAUUAAAAACAAAUAUUUUGGGCUAAAACGAAGUAAAUGCUCUAAAAAAUAUUAGUGUUGCACAAUUUAUUUUACUAUAAAGGUAGGUUAUUAAUUUGACAAUUUUAAUAUAGGAAAGCAAUGUCACAUCCCAUUAAAAUUUUGAAAAAUGCCAAAAAUAAAUUACAUAAAUUACAUGCUAAAUUACAGGAUUGAAAACAAUGAAACAUAGGAUUGAAGUUUUUACAGAGAUAUGUGGUAGCACUCUGUCUAGAUAUCUUAUUCUCGCACUAACAAUGGCUGUAGAGAUCGAGAUGAAUCCUGCGGAUGACGGUAGCCAGAUUAGAACCAUGGCUGACUUAAAAUCCGAAAUUGAUCGACCACGAACCAUGCCUGCAUCAGCAACUGUAAACCCACGAUGUCCCAAGGUUCCAAAGUCGUUGUUGCCAUCAGAUGCCCAGGGUUCUGAGCCUUCUGACGACCACCCUUAUGAGCCAAUGGUCAUGUCUUUGGGUCCUUACCACCAUGGCAAUCCGAAGCUCGUACGUGGAGAAAAGAUCAAGCUUCUAUUGGCGCUAGAUUUCUUCGAUGAUUUGAAGCAACCCAGCACUGUUGACCAGCCCGUAGACCAACCCGUAGACCAGACAAAAAAGAAGGUAGUCGAUGAAUUGUACAGCAGAAUUAGCAGUGUUGUUAGUAGGUUGAGGGACUGUUAUGAUAAGGAGUCGAUAGAGAAUUAUUCGAAUGAACAAUUCAGUGUGAUGAUGCUGGUGGACGGGUGUGCUUUAAUGAGGUACAUUCUUUAUGCUUGCAUUCAUCGUGACCGUGACCAUGAAUCUUUCGAUAUCAGAUAUGAGGAUCUAAGCCUUCUGCAUAGGGAUGCGAUGCUGCUGGAGAAUCAACUUCCCUAUGAAUUAAUCAUGGAAGUGCUGAAGAUGAAUAAAACAUGGAAUCCUUCUUUUUGGAAAAUGCUAUGCGUGGAAUUCUGUGGCAUGACCCUGUGGGAGGUGGAGCCAUACUCAUUCCUGCAAAAAAUGAAGAAAUUUUGCUGCGGCCGGUUCCCCGCAAUCGGCCAAAUUAUUAACCGGCAGCGGAGGCCAAACCCUGAUGAAGAAUCAGGGAGAAACACCAAUGAAGAAUCUGGGAGAAACACUGAUCAUCUCCUCGAUCUGUACUGGGAUAAUUUCCUAGGAGCCAAAUGUUCUAGCCACUUAGAUUAUUUCCUAGGAGCCAAUUGUUCUAGCCCAACGCAUGGGGGGGAUAAAACUGACUGUAUGGGAUCAAUUGUUGAUGUGAAGGAGCAGGUAAUGGCAUCAUUUAGAAAUGUGAAGGAUCUUAUGGCCGCUGGAAUCCGCAUCAAGCCUAGCCCUACACGUUUUUUGAGGGACAUUUCUUUCACUUCCAAUUGCGUCACUGCAUACCUCAGACUUCCUCCCAUCACCAUUGAUAAGUCAACCAAGGAUAUGUUCUUCAACUUGAUAGCCUGGGAAAUGAGCUCAAAUAAGCCCCAUGACUUCAUCUCUUACCUUCGCUUCCUUGAUUCCCUCAUUGAUGAUGCUGAUGACAUUAAGGAGCUGCAGUCCGCCGGGGUACUC
This 25794-nucleotide long non-coding RNA is filed under the name Vitis vinifera (wine grape). RNAcentral describes it as "long non-coding RNA (VVIN_LNC005254)". The record is from RNAcentral. Lineage: Eukaryota; Viridiplantae; Streptophyta; Magnoliopsida; Vitales; Vitaceae.